CCAGACAGCAAGCCAACAUUGAAUAAACAUUGUUUUUCCAUCUGAAUCAUCAUUAUGGUUGAUAUUGAAAUUUCAAUGCAAAAUAAAUGUUGAAUCACCAUUAUCAUAUCGAUGAAAACCUGAUGUUAUUAAUGUUGAUGGCAACAAUAUUGGAACAACAUUGAUCCAUAGUUAUCUUUAUGAUUGAUUAAGCAUUGAUAUUUGGUUACCGGGUGAUCCCUGAAUGUGUUGAAAAGUAAUUGAUUUAUAGUGGACAGAGGAACGAUGCGGUUGUUGAAAAGUCAUCGAAAUAUAGUUGACCGGGAAAUAUGAUAGAAAGUGCAUCGAAAUAUAGUUGACCGGGAAAUAUGAUAGAAAGUGCAUCGAAAUAUAGUUGACCGGGAAAUAUGAUAGAAAGUGCAUCGAAAUAUAGUUGACCAGGAAAUAUGAUAGAAAAUGCGUCGAAAUAUAGUUGACCGGGAAAUAUGAUUGAAAAUCCAUCGAUUUUUGGUUGACCGGGAGAUCAACGGGUGGUAUACCCAACGUACUGCACCGGACACAGCUCAUUUCUGGACCCUUGGCACAAGUGUACAGGUAAGCUUGCUUAAUGUUCGAUAUGAACCCAGACAGCACAGGCACGCGGUGUGUUUUUAUACAGUCUGUGGGCAGCUGAAGAGACUGGCUCAUUUUCAAAUAAUGUUACCGUUAACUUGUUUAGACAACGGUCACGGUAAAUUAAUGUUAAAGCCUUUCGUGUCCAGCAGUUUCUCGGAGGGAAAAUGUAAAAGCGGUUUAUUAAAGAGAAGUCCUGACUCCUUUAUCGUCGUGUUUUUCACUCUUUUACAGGCUGCCAGAAAGAAUCCGUCUCUAUAGUGAGUGAUUAUUGAAUGAGGCUGUACAUUAUAAAUGUAAUGUUUUAACUCGAGAUGUUUGUUUGUGUGAAUGCUGUGUGUGCGGUGAGUUCUGCGCGAGCGGGGAGCAGAGUUGCCAUGGAAACGGGGCAUCAACACAAAAACCAUUACUGGCAAGCAGUAACGUUAAUCUCCGUCUCUCGCUGCGGUUUACGCUGUUUUAGGUAAGUUUAGUCGCUAAAAUCACACAAAUAUGAUAUACAAAUGUUUCUGACACGUUUCUUACUUGUUAUUGACAUGUUUCAAUUACAUUUAUUUUAUAGAAAUGGUUUAGUGUCUUCGAAAAAGUCUGUUAGCAUCUAUCUUAGCAGUUUUCAGGUAAUGUUAGGCUAAUUUUGAGCUCUUGUUGAUGAAACUCUGGGCUUUUCAUCAAAUCGUCGUGUGUGUGAGAUAUUUUGAUGGCUCUGUGAAUGUUUUGCUGGUGAUUUGUCAGUGUUUUUUUUUUUUUUUUAUAGAAAAGGCUGAUUUACUGAAUCGAUGACGUCACUUACACUGAGAGUGUAACGUUAAUCGGCUGAAAACAAGUUCACAUGAGUUUUGAUAUUUCAUGAUAAACAGAUAUUAAUACAAAUUGUUCUGUGAUUUCAGGAGGACAGAAAGAAACUAUACAGAACAAAGUGAAACUCCAAGAUUUUUGAAAAGAAAAUUGGUGAAAUAUAUUCUGAAAAAGGCAUAUUAAUGUAUUUCAUGAGCUUCUUCAGUAAAUCUGUAUUUCUAAGUCAGUAUCUCCCUUCAGAAAUGUGGCUGAAGGGAGAUACUGACUUAGAAAUACAGCUGAACUCAUGAAAAGAAGCUCAUGAAACACAUUAAUAUGCCUUUUUCAGAAUAUAUUUCACCAAAUUUAAGAAGUCCCUGACAUCAAAACAGUAAAUAUUGUUGUCUCUGUGUCAGAUGGCUUGUUUUGUUCCUGGACUCUUCAGUGAUGAUGAGCAGAGUCUGAGUGAACCUGCUGUCAGACAUUAAGUACCCUGAGUACCCUGGGGUUUCAGUCAGGGCCUUCAGUAAACAACUGAAUCAAACAAAAUCCUUAAUGGUUAAUAGUUACUAGUUAAUAUAUUAUUAAUCACUUAUAAAUCAUUGAAAUGUCAACAUUGUACUAUUAUCUCAAUAAACAUUAUAAAUAAUUUACAAAGCUUUCUGCACCCCCUAAUCUAUAAAGUGUAAACUACUCAUCAGUUGUACUCAUCGGCUUUCAUUUGCUUUUGGAUGUUUGCGUCGCAAGUGAUACAGCAUUGUACUUGCACAACUAUUGUACUUCAUUUUAAUACCCAAACCCGGACCUCUGACACGCCAGGCAAAAGUUCUACCACUGAAACAUUUGAGCUGACAAACAGAUAUAUUGUAGCUUAAUAUUCACAAUAGGAAGAAAGUGCAGCAUAAAAAAUAUCAUAUUUUAGCAUUAAAAUCCCUUUAACAUUUAUGGUGAUCUGAGAGGCCGGGGGAGUCCAGUUAAUGGGGCGUAAUUCAUUAGCUUUAAUGAGAAUUGUAUAUUUUAUAGGCCUACAUUAAAAUGUAUUUAGUUUUUUAUAUUUUACAAUUAUUUCUUGAAUGCUACUAUUACAUCAACUGUAGCUGAAAAGAAUAAACCCCUGUAUAUUUAAUUUGUAUAUUAUGUUGUUUAUAUUCUUUGUUUUUAUAUUUUUAAUAACAGAUUGGUUACCUGAGUACAUAUGUAUAAAGUACAGUCACACUGUAUGAUUGUGAAUUUUAAUUGCUGUUUUUAACAGAGAUUUUUGUCUUUUCUGUUCUUUUACAGAUGACUAUUGCACACCAAAUGCUCUUACUCAGCAGAUGGGGACAGCUACCAUCACCCAAUUUUCACCCAAAAGUGGCUGCGCUAUUCGCCAGACCGGGCAGGAGGGACUGGACGACAACUUAUGCAGGCAUCAGAUGACAAUGAAGUGUAAAUAAAGAGUAGAGGCUAAUAAACAGGAAUUUGAUUUUAAA
Long non-coding RNA from Carassius gibelio (silver crucian carp), 2837 nucleotides. RefSeq lists it as uncharacterized. The transcript is spliced from 3 exons. The record is from RefSeq and is a predicted model, not a curated record. Lineage: Eukaryota; Metazoa; Chordata; Actinopteri; Cypriniformes; Cyprinidae.